This 469-nucleotide ribosomal RNA is filed under the name uncultured bacterium. Its description in RNAcentral is "SSU rRNA". It matches the Rfam family "Bacterial small subunit ribosomal RNA", at positions 26 to 523 of the family's 1533-position model. The record is from RNAcentral.
AGCCUGAACGCUGGCGGCGUGGUUAAGACAUGCAAGUCGUACGGUGUAGCAAUACACAGUGGCGAACGGGUGAGUAAUGAAUCGCUAAUGUACCCCGGACUCUGGGAUAGCUACCCGAAAGGGUAGGUAAUACCAGAUAACGUAAUCCUUCCGCAUGGUUGGAUUCCCAAAGGUCCGCCGGUCUGGGAGCAGGCGAUUUUGUAUCAGCUAGUUGGUGAGGUAACGGCUCACCAAGGCGAUGACGCAUAGCCGGACUGAGAGGUUGGCCGGCCACAUUGGGACUGAGACACUGCCCAGACUCCUACGGGGGGCUGCAGUAACGAAUCUUCCGCAAUGCACGAAAGUGUGACGGAGCGACGCCGCGUGUGGGACGAAGCCCGUUCGGGGUGUAAACCACUGUCAGAGGAUAGAAAGUUCUGAUCAUCCUCAGAGGAAGGCACGGCUAACUCUGCACCAGCAGCCGCGGUAA